UCUACAUACGCCCGUCUCUCUAUCCCCACGAGAACACGAACCAUCCCGGCCACCCGGCGCUAGGUUCCCUCCGCCGCCGCGCCCCAUCCCUUCGCUCCCAGCAACCCUCUCCACCCUCUCCCAUCCCCAGUCGUCGUCGUAGCCCCUCGCCGGCGUUCGAUAUCCAAGACGGAGCCUCGGCCGACUGCUCCUUGGAGCACGCCGCCCGCCGGUGGAUGCCCUGAUUCUGCGCGACCCCGCCGGAGACUCACCUCGCCAACUUGGCGCCUCCUGCAGGAUCUCCGCCACCGCCUAGCGCUUCUGUGCGCAAGGAUUUCGACGCCUCUCCCUGGCCCUCCUGGCGGACAGCCUCCAGCCCACACAAGCUUCCCUGUUCUGGCUCUGUCGGCUACCAUGGUUGAGUAGAGCGAGGAGAUCGAGAGGGGAAAUAGUCACUUGAUUUUUGCGGAUUAUGUUGAGCAUGGAGAUUGAUCUUAACGUUUUGGUUGUCCGCAGAUUCAAUGAUGACAACACGCACACCUUUCCCUGAUGCUUGGGCAAAGGCAUGUAUGUCCGAUGUGCAGGCAAAACUUUAUAGAUGCAGAUUACAUACAUUAGAAAUUGCCAACUCGAUGGAUGAUAAAUACUAUGACUUGGGACUCAGAAAAAAGAUCAACACGUAGAUGCAGAUUACAUAGAUCAGGACUUGCUAACUCGGCGUAUGACACAUACUAAACGACAUCAACACGUAGGUGAGACCAUUGACUAUUAGAGCAAAUCAACACAUGUUUGAGCUACAACGGAGGUCACUUAAAUAAAUGUAACGUGAUUUACCCCUUUAUUUCUUUAUCUCGAGAGACAAUGUAGAUAUAUGCAUGUGUUUACAUUUGUUGUGGUUGCAUGUAUCCUUGACUUUUGUUAGGCUGGGGACAAGCGUAUCAAUUUGUAUAAUGCUAAUAAUGUUGUCACAUAAUAGUGUAAUGUAUGUGUUAUUGUGAUGUUAUCCAGUCAAACUCUUUAGAAAACAAUGGUCGCCGCCAGAAGUUGGCUGCGGUGAUUGUUGAAUAUAGAUGGGAUCUUCUUUGAGGAAAUCCAAACAAGCGGCUGGGGAUGUAUCUCGCGGGACUCGAUGGUUACAGUUUGGGGAGCAGCAGAGUUGCUUGCUAGCAUCUUUUGUUCUUGCAUCUACGAACUGAUGAUGCUUUACUUGCUGUUGUUUCCCGUGGUAGUACAUUAUGGCUCACUGUUGUUUAUGCUCGGACAGCAGCAGAGGAAUAGACUCGGCAAGGAAGGGAGCUACUCCAGUGUAGUCGGUGGAAUUGACUGGCAAAGUAAAUCAUGAAGCUCCUGGUUGGACCAAGAGGCUAAGAAUUGGGGUUGCACCUCCUAUAACAGUCAGUUUCAUCGGUGGCCUGCCAACAACACUGGUGAAGGAAUGAGGGUGGCCCGAGACCGAUAACAGGGGGCUCUUGAACUGGCAAAGCCAGAAGCCACCAUCGCUUCAUUGUCCCCGGAGAUCGUUUGGUGAUGUCCGAUGGAUAUCACGUGACGGAGUGGAGACGCACACUCCCCUGCCCCAACUUUGGUGGCGCCACCUACCAAUGCGGGGUACAGUCCUGCCUGACCCGGCCAACAUCUUGAUUGUAAAUUUCUCUCACCUUCUAUCUCGUGUUCAUGUGGUCGUAUUGAUUUUGCCUUUUGAGAAGUGUUGAAAGAAGAUUAUGUGCUUCAGACGACUGAAUGUCCAGUAAUAUCAUCAACCUUCAGCCAGCAGCGGCUCCGAACUCUAUCACCUCAAAUGGUUUAGCAUAGAUCGAUGUUUCCUUUCACAUGCUUUCCGAGCCAAGUUUCAGCUGGUCUCGACCCAGCAUGUAUCUUCACUUUCAGUAACAAACUGUUGACUAUGAAACCGAGAAAGACCUGAGCCUUCUGAUAGGCUGGUGUUUUUACUAAGAUUUUUUAUUCUAAAAAUAAG
Long non-coding RNA from Triticum aestivum (bread wheat), 1954 nucleotides. RefSeq lists it as uncharacterized. Lineage: Eukaryota; Viridiplantae; Streptophyta; Magnoliopsida; Poales; Poaceae. The transcript has 6 exons. The record is from RefSeq and is a predicted model, not a curated record.